GCUGAUGUUUCACAUAAUAUCCACUUACUGGAGCCUCAACAGCCUGACCCUCCUGCUUCAGUUCCUAAUGAGGACAGAGAUUAUCCUCUUUUGGAAUUGUAUCACUCUGCCUCUGAAGAGCAGGAAGAGGAGCAGUUCAAUUUGGAAGACACUCCUCUAGAAUUCCAGCAGU
Molecule: long non-coding RNA, 172 nt
Organism: Xyrauchen texanus (razorback sucker)
Lineage: Eukaryota; Metazoa; Chordata; Actinopteri; Cypriniformes; Catostomidae
Exons: 3
Source: RefSeq, a predicted model, not a curated record